AGUGAACGCUGGCGGUAGGCCUAACACAUGCAAGUCGAACGGCAGCACAGUAAGAGCUUGCUCUUACGGGUGGCGAGUGGCGGACGGGUGAGGAAUACAUCGGAAUCUACUUUUUCGUGGGGGAUAACGUAGGGAAACUUACGCUAAUACCGCAUACGACCUACGGGUGAAAGCAGGGGAUCUUCGGACCUUGCGCGAAUGAAUGAGCCGAUGUCGGAUUAGCUAGUUGGCGGGGUAAAGGCCCACCAAGGCGACGAUCCGUAGCUGGUCUGAGAGGAGGAUCGGCGACACUGGAACUGAGACACGGUCCAGACUCCUACGGGAGGCAGCAGUGGGGAAUAUUGGACAAUGGGCGCAAGCCUGGUCCAGCCAUACCGCGUGGGUGAAGAAGGCCUUCGGGUUGUAAAGCCCUUUUGUGGGGAAAGAAAAGCAGCAGGUUAAUACCCCGCUGUUCUGACGGUACCCAAAGAAUAAGCACCGGCUAACUUCGUG
This 492-nucleotide ribosomal RNA is filed under the name uncultured bacterium. RNAcentral describes it as "partial 16S ribosomal RNA". It matches the Rfam family "Bacterial small subunit ribosomal RNA", at positions 29 to 507 of the family's 1533-position model. The record is from RNAcentral.